Molecule: RNA transcript, 4385 nt
Organism: Callithrix jacchus (white-tufted-ear marmoset)
Lineage: Eukaryota; Metazoa; Chordata; Mammalia; Primates; Cebidae
Gene: FBXL2
Gene name: F-box and leucine rich repeat protein 2
Source: RefSeq, a predicted model, not a curated record
UCUGGACUGGAGGGGACAUUUUAAAGCCUGGUUAGUGCACUCACUCAGGAGCUUUACCUAGUAACAUUUUUAAAACAGUCAAUUGAAUAUUACUACUUAAUCCUACUGACAUUUUAAAGACUCUGUUUAUUCACAAUUGUCUUGGCCUGUUCUGAUGUGAGAUGGCAUGCUCCAAAGGUAAUUGGUAUGGUUGCUUUAGAAGACCAGCUGUUUCAUCUAAACAUAUACCUGCCUUAGGACCCAGAAAUUCCUAUCCUAGGAGUAUGUCCAAAAGAAUGAAAUCCUAUAUUCACGCAAAAAAAUCUGUGCACAACUGUUCGUAGCAGCUUUAUUUGCAAUGAUCAAAAGCUGGAAGCCAUUCAGAUAUCAACAGAUGAACAGAAAACAAACUCAUAUUCACACAAUGGAAUACUGUUCAACAAUAACGGGAAUGAACUGCUGAAUGAAAUACUCGACACGUGAAUGAAUCUCAAGGAUAGCUGCAGAGUGAAAGAAGCCUGACGCAAAUCAGUUCACACUGUGUGAUUCCUUUUAUAUGAAGUUCAAGACACGACACAACUGAUCUGUGGUGAAAACAGUGAGCACAGUGGUUCCCUGUGACGGAAUGGGAAUACGCGGGAACAUCUUGUGUGAUGAACAUGUUCUGUAUCCUCUAAUGACCAGUGAUGUAAAAUCCAGCAAGUGGAGAGAUGACUUCUAAGGAGAUUUCGAUUAUUCUGUGUGGGUGCAAAGCACAGCUGUUUUCUGUGUUUAGAAUGCCUCCUACUGACCAUGCUGGAGUUUCCGCUCCCUCUCCAAAAUUUGUCGGAGUAUGGGACCAAAUCUGGACCAUGCGAGACAGAGUUGGCACAGUAUUACUUUGGGCCUGUCACACAAGUUCAUCUGGAGGAGCAAAGAGCUGCCCAGAGCUGAGAAAAGAGCUGCACAGGAUCCCCAAACAAAGAUGCAUCCACAAGACACAUGGGAUACCAAGUUGGUGAGGAGAAGACUCGUGCCAAGCAAAGGCAUAUUCUUAUUUGAAUCUUCAAACUGAUCAUACAGCCCUAGGAUAGAUGGUCAUUCAGUCAAACGCCAAUACUUACUGAGCAUCUACUAGAAGCCAGAAACUGUUCUAUACACUAGGAAUACAGAAUGGAACAAAAUAGACAUCUUGCAUUCCAGAGUGGGGAGACAGCAAGUAAUAAAAAGUCCCGGAGGCUGGGAAGUCUACGAUUAAGAUGCUGGCAAGUUUGAUGUCUGGUGAUGGCUGCUCUCUGCUUCCAAGAUGGUGUCUUGUCGCUGCAUCCUCUGGAAGCUGGGCAGCCUGCGACUGGGUAAUCUGUCAGGUGAGGGUCAUCAAGGUGAUCAGGCUGAGAGCAGGGACCAGAUGCAAAGCGAGAGAGGCGAAGAAGCCCCGUGCCGGGGUCGGGGGCGAGCGGUGGGCGGUCCGAAGGGCACCGCCCCUGCGGGUCACGUGCUCGCCGGCCACCAAUGGCCGCCUCCGAGCCCACCUUGGGGACGGGGCGGGGCGCCUGGCUGGCGUCACCAGGACAACGGGCGUCGCCGGCGCCGUGUGACUUCGGGCUGUGGGCUUGCUCGCGGCUCUUCGGCCAUGGUUUUCUCAAACAAUGAUGAAGGCCUUAUUAACAAAAAGUUACCCAAAGAACUUCUCUUAAGAAUAUUUUCCUUCUUGGAUAUAGUAACUUUGUGCCGAUGUGCACAGAUUUCCAAGGCUUGGAACAUCUUAGCCCUGGAUGGAAGCAACUGGCAAAGAAUAGAUCUUUUUAACUUUCAAACAGAUGUAGAGGGUCGAGUGGUGGAAAAUAUCUCGAAGCGAUGUGGUGGAUUCCUGCGGAAGCUCAGCUUGCGAGGCUGCAUUGGUGUCGGGGAUUCCUCCUUGAAGACCUUUGCACAGAACUGCCGAAACAUUGAACAUUUAAACCUCAAUGGAUGCACAAAAAUCACUGACAGCACGUGUUAUAGCCUUAGCAGAUUCUGUUCCAAGCUGAAGCAUCUGGAUCUGACCUCCUGUGUGUCUAUUACAAACAGCUCCUUGAAGGGGAUCAGUGAGGGCUGCCGAAACCUGGAAUACCUGAACCUCUCUUGGUGUGACCAGAUCACAAAGGAUGGCAUCGAGGCACUGGUGCGAGGUUGUCGAGGCCUGAAAGCCCUGCUCCUGAGGGGCUGCACACAGUUAGAAGAUGAAGCUCUGAAACACAUUCAGAAUUACUGCCAUGAGCUCGUGAGCCUCAACCUACAGUCCUGCUCACGCAUCACGGAUGAAGGUGUGGUGCAGGUGUGCAGGGGCUGUCACCGGCUGCAGGCCCUCUGCCUCUCGGGUUGCAGCAACCUCACAGAUGCCUCCCUUACAGCCCUGGGUCUGAACUGCCCGCGACUGCAAAUUUUGGAGGCUGCCCGAUGCUCCCACUUGACUGACGCAGGUUUUACACUUUUAGCUCGGAAUUGCCACGAAUUGGAGAAGAUGGAUCUUGAAGAAUGCAUCCUGAUAACCGACAGCACGCUCAUCCAGCUCUCCAUUCACUGUCCCAAACUGCAAGCCCUGAGCCUGUCCCACUGUGAACUCAUCACAGACGAUGGGAUCCUGCACCUGAGCAACAGCACCUGUGGCCAUGAGAGGUUGCGGGUACUGGAGCUGGACAACUGCCUCCUCAUCACUGAUGUGGCCCUGGAACACCUAGAGAACUGCCGAGGCCUGGAGCGCCUUGAGCUGUAUGACUGCCAGCAGGUUACCCGUGCAGGCAUCAAGCGGAUGCGGGCUCAGCUCCCUCAUGUCAAAGUCCACGCCUACUUUGCUCCCGUCACCCCACCAACAGCAGUGGCAGGAAGUGGACAGCGACUGUGCAGGUGCUGUGUCAUUCUCUGACAGCAGCUGCCUGAGCCCAAGGGGUGAUGCAUCCUUUCCUCUAGAAGACAUGAAUCUUCCUGACCUACUCCACCAUCACCCAAUCUGUUGAUUCUCCAUUGGGAAAGGCAUUUACAGACACCCAUCAAGAUUUAAGAAUGGCAAAGACAAGAAAGGAUUUAUAAGCAACAUCUGACAUCACAUGGUGACCUGAACCAUGGCUCUGACCUAGCUAGUGCUCUUUUUGUCCUCUUCCCUUCUGAGUAGCCUCACCAGUACCCAUGUCGCUUCUCUGAUACCUCUAAAAGAUUAACAAUUCUCAAGACAGACGAGACAGGCCCAGCAUCAAGAUAUAUCAACUGUGUACAGUAUUUCCUCUAUCUACUGUCUGUCUAUGUUUUAUAUUUUCUGGAAGAGUUAUGAUGAACUUUAAUAUUUUUCAGCUCCAGGCAAAAUUCCAACCCAAAACGGAACAAAGACAUGGAGAUACACUAAGUAUUACAAUUAGGAGAGCUGACAAAGUCAAAGUCAAAAGCAUGCUAAGCACACCAGGGUAAUCUCAAAUACAAGUCUUCAGACCUCAGAUAUAGACAUCACAUGAAAUGAUUUCACUCUACAGGUAUUCUUUCUUAACACCAAUGGAUCUGAGCACUUGGUUUCAAGGGUCCCCUUUCAUAACAUCCUUCUCUCAUUUUACACAAGAAAGGUAUCACAUCUAACCAUAGCCCUGGGGUAUAAGACUCUCCCAGGCUGGACAUGGUGACUCAUGCCACUAAUCCCAGUACUUUGGAAGGCUACGGUGAGAGGAUAGCUUGAGCCCAGGAGUUAAAAGACCAGGCUGGGCAAUAUAGUGAGACCCUGUUUCUACCAAAAAUAUUAAAAUAAUAAAUAUAAUGAAGAAAGACUCUCGAAAAGCCAAGCUAAAGAUACUAGGAUUAAAAAAAAAAAUAGCCAGGUGUGGUGGUAUACACCUGUAGUCAUAGCCACUUGGAAGGCUAAGGCAGGAGAAUGGCAUGAACCCAGGAAGGAGAGGCUGCAGUGAGCCAUGACUGUACCACUGCACUCCAGCUUGGGCAACAGAGUGAGACCCCCAUUUCCAAGAAAACAAAUUAUUAAAAAAAAAAAGAGAAAGAAAGAAAGAAAAAAUACGUAACUCUAAUGACUGAGUUUUUCUAUAAGUCAGGUAGGUAACUUUCAAUUCUUUGCUUUCAAAAUAAUUCAGGAGGACCUACUGUCAACUGACAUAUACUGAAAUAAUAUACUAGAUCAUACAAAAAUGGCUCUGGGAUUUUUGACAGACAAUUCAAAAAGACCUGAAUGACACUGCUGAAGAAAAAUUAACCCAAAAUUUCUCACAUCUAUAAAAUUCUAGAAGUUAUGUUCUACCCUGCCUCCUCAUUCAAGAUGCAUUUCCGAUGCAUUCUAUUUUUACAUUUAAUAAAUAUUUAUCAAAAUCUGUAUGAUUUGCUGUUUUUGAUAAAUUGCUAUUAAUAAGUUUUAAAUUUCUUGACUGACUUAAGAGGCAAUGGCCACAGGAAAUUUU